Molecule: long non-coding RNA, 2227 nt
Organism: Equus caballus (horse)
Lineage: Eukaryota; Metazoa; Chordata; Mammalia; Perissodactyla; Equidae
Source: Ensembl
AAUACUACAUAUACCAAGUUAACUAAUCCAUUCAUCAAAUAAAUACUGAAUAUUUUCUCUGUGCUUGGUACGUUGUUCAACACUGAAGAUACAGCACAAACCAGUCCGACAUCGUCCCUCUUCUCAUGGAGGGUGUUUAAGCAGGGAAUAAAGGCAUUUUCAAACUACAAGUGAGAUGAGUGUUAUAACGGAGUGGGUGAGGGAAGGCCUUCCUAAGGAUGAGAUCUAAGGAAUAGGAAGGAUUUAGCCAGGUGAAGAGGGUGGGGAAAAUGUUACAAGCACGUGGACCCACUCCAAAAUAAGGGCUAACAUGGUACUUUGGGGAAUUGAGAGAAAUCCAUACGGCUCUGCAGGAAGGAUCAGAGGAGACUAGCUGUGCUAGGUACUUACACCUCCCUUCAAGGAAGGACUUGGUGUCCAGCUGCACAGUGUGCGGUCAGCAGUCUACAGCUGUUCAGCUCCUUCAGGUGUUGAUCCUUAAUGAAAAUCUUGCUCCUUAAACUCUGUGUUAGAAUCAGCUCCUGGUGGAUCCAACUCCAACAGCAGAGGAACAGGAAGACUUUGUGUCAUGUGUGAUAAUAUCAUGAGGUUUCUCCUCAGAUGUGAAGGAGGUGAGGGUCCCUGUAGCCUAAUAGGGAUGGACUACAAGUCCAGUGAGCGAGAGAGCAACUUUGGAGUCUUCACUGAAGGAUCUGCAGGAACUUCUAGAACAAAAAACCCUAACCUAUUGUGAUAAGAAUCAGAAGAGUGGUUGCCUCUGGAAGGGAGAUUGACUGGAAACGGGCUUGAAGAUCUUUUCUAGAGUGAAUGUGAUGACGACCAGGCAGAGGGUCCAUACUGAUAGUCAUCAUCAAUGACAACUGUCUGCAUCAAUGACAUGGCAACUUCCUCUCCAGAGUCAUGGUGGCAAGACACAAAUGACUCUAUUUCAUUUGAUGGUCCCCCUAUACUGACCCAAUCAGCAGGAAGUAGUCAGAAAGACAAGGAUGACCCUGUUCCUCUUAUAGCAUAUGAUUAUGUUGGGUUACAAUUGACAGUGAGGAGUUGUCGGCGCCACUCACAUGAACAGUCAUCUUUCCUAUACAUAUUAAAGAUUUUGUUCUUGUUAUCUUUAAACGAAAUCAGGUAUAAGGCAUUGCUCUGGUCUCUGAUGCUUAUCCAGUAAAACAGAAGAUUAUCAGGAACUGAGACCAGAUGUCUGCCCCACCUGGAGACCAGCCUCUUAUAUAACUGGCUUGUAGUCUUUGUUCUGUGAGAUGGUUUUUCCAGACAUUAGUCAGCCAUCUUCCCCCUUGCUGGCAAGCUGUAAUAAAACCCUUUCUCUCCUACCACCUUGCUUCUCCACUAUUGGUGUGUCUUGAGGCUGGCAGAUGACCCACCCUGGGCAGUAACAAAUUGAAUUUCCACACCAUGACUUUUUCCAGGGACCCGAUUUUCUUGGAGGAAGAUAAAAGAGGGAUACGCUUGUGCUUUCCAUAAAACUGAAACGUACUGAAAUGUUUUAAAGUAAAUUUAAAAUUGACAUUUUAUAUUUUUACUAUCACAAUUAUUGAUUUUUGUUUUUUACUUUUUUAUUUAUUGGCCUAUUAAAAUUGAUUUCUAUUUCCUCUUUUGAGGAAGAGAAAUAUAUAGGGGAAAAAACAACAGAAGGGUACUAGAAUAUUUUGCUGGCUAUCUGAGACCUUUGGCCACUGUUUGGAAAUUGUUGAUCUAUCACAAAUACGUGUAAAAUCUAAGGACUACCUUAUUAGAGAUAUGUACUGAGUAUUCAUGGGUGAAAGGAUACAACGUCUAGGAUUUGCUUUAAAAUCCUGCCACAAAAAAUGGUGGAGGAGGAAAGGUGAAAUGAGUUUGGCAAAAUAAAAUGUUGAUAAUUGUUGAAAGUGGGUGAUGGGAGCCUGGGGUUUAUUAUACUAUAUUACCUUUGUAUGUUUAAACAUGUCUACAAAUUAAAAUCUGAGGAGUUGGCUUAUAUUCUCAGCUUUCCCACUAAGUGGAUAGGAAAUCAUAUUCAAAGCACUUCAAUAUUCUGUGCCUUAAUUUUUACAAAUGGUCAUAUUGCAAGUAAUCAAUCAGCUAGUAAUUAUUGAGCUAGGCUUACUGUGUAGGUAGCAUUCUGAUGUUACUAUCUAAAUUCUCAGGGAUGUUGUCAGAUUACUGCAAAGUAUAAUAUACUUUAAAAAACUAAAACCUCUUUUCAAGUAUUAUCACAAAAUCCAUUGUUGAA